GUGGGGAAUAUUGGGCAAUGGGCGAAAGCCUGACCCAGCAACGCCGCGUGAAGGAAGAAGGCCCUCGGGUUGUAAACUUCUUUUAUGAGGGACGAAGGAAGUGACUGUACCUCAUCAAUAAGCCACGGCUAACUACGUGCCAGCAGCCGCGGUAAUACGUAGGUGGCAAGCGUUGUCCGGAUUUACUGGGUGUAAAGGGCGCGUAGGCGGACUGGCAAGUCAGAUGUGAAAUCCAUGAGCUCAACUCAUGAACUGCAUUUGAAACUGUUGGUCUUGAGUAUCGGAGAGGCAAGCGGAAUUCCUAGUGUAGCGGUGAAAUGCGUAGAUAUUAGGAGGAACACCAGUGGCGAAGGCGGCUUGCUGGACGACAACUGACGCUGAGGCGCGAAAGCGUGGGGAGCAAACAGGAUUAGAUACCCGGGUAGUCC
This 428-nucleotide ribosomal RNA is filed under the name uncultured bacterium. RNAcentral's name for it is "partial 16S ribosomal RNA". It matches the Rfam family "Bacterial small subunit ribosomal RNA", at positions 354 to 796 of the family's 1533-position model. The record is from RNAcentral.